GGAAUUUACAUGGUCUUUCUCUCUUCUAGCUUCUAGCUAUACCUCCCUUUUUCCUCCACUCAUCAUAUCUUUAUUGGCAUCAUUGAAGAUCCCUGUUGUCAGUUUUUAGUUUUGUUUGUGCUACCCCAAUAAAUCCUUAUCAUCACUAGAACCAACCAACUAGAAUUUUGCAUGUUAUUGACCUUCAUGUAGCAUGUCUAAGUCUUUAUAGAAGUGGGUUCCUGAUCUUUUGCUUUAAUUUCUCUCCAGAAUGCAACAGUACUUCGUUUCUGUGAGUGUCUUUUUAUUAAUUUCUACUACUUUGGUUUGUUUUUUCAACAGAUGGAGCACAAUAUGCUAGAGACUAGAGAGAGUGUUGAGCUCUAACAAACACAGGCACGGCGUUUACAGAAUAAUGGAACAGUAUAACGGGAUAUUGGUCCGGUUCACUCAG
RNAcentral lists this microRNA precursor (433 nucleotides) under Dimocarpus longan. RNAcentral describes it as "partial precursor microRNA MIR170". The record is from RNAcentral. Lineage: Eukaryota; Viridiplantae; Streptophyta; Magnoliopsida; Sapindales; Sapindaceae.